UACAGAGGGUGCAAGCGUUAAUCGGAAUUACUGGGCGUAAAGCGCACGUAGGCGGUUUUUUAAGUCAGAUGUGAAAGCCCCGGGCUCAACCUGGGAAUUGCAUUUGAAACUGGGGAACUAGAGUGUGUGAGAGGGGGGUAGAAUUCCAAGUGUAGCGGUGAAAUGCGUAGAGAUUUGGAGGAAUACCAGUGGCGAAGGCGGCCCCCUGGCACAACACUGACGCUCAGGUGCGAAAGCGUGGGGAGCAAAC
Molecule: ribosomal RNA, 250 nt
Filed under: uncultured bacterium
Lineage: Bacteria
Also listed under: 1 other name
Description: partial 16S ribosomal RNA
Rfam family: Bacterial small subunit ribosomal RNA
Source: RNAcentral